UUCGCAGAAUUUUAGUGACAUUGGUUUUCCAAGUAACCGUGGACUUAAAAUUGCUCAUCUAAAUGUAAGAAGAAUAACUAAUAAGAUAGAUUUACUACGCCUUCUUUUACUAAAUAAUCCUUUCGAUGUCCUGACCAUCUCCGAAACCUGGUUAACCAAAAACAUAUCUGAUCCUGAACUAAAUAUUCAAGGUUAUUCUUUUGUCAGAAAUGACCGUAAAAGCAAAAAAGGUGGUGGGUGCAUGAUUUAUAUUCGUGAUGGCUUACCCUAUCGAGCACGGCCUGACUUGCAAGAUGAUAACAUAGAGUCUUGUGUCCUUGAACUCAAUCGGCCGAAAUGUAAAAACAUGCUCAUCUGGUCAAUCUAUCGAGCCCCUGAUGCACCAUUACCCAAUUUCAUCGAUACUUUAAAUUCAAAGAUCUCCUUACUUCCCCAGGACGUUGAACUAGUUUUACUCGGUGACUUUAACGUUGACGUCCUUGCCAAAAGAAGUACUUCUAGUCACAGCCUGAAACAAAGACUUAAUAUUUUUGCUAGUGCAAACAAUUUAAACCAACUCAUCGACACUCCAACGCGGAUAAACGAACUCUCAUCAACUGCAAUUGAUCUCUUGUUUGUUAACAUCAAACACCGCAUUGUAUCAAGUGGUGUGUUAUCGGUACAUAUCAGCGACCACUCCCUCAUUUACUGUGUUGUCAAGGCUGGUGUAACAAAGAGUCCUGGCAGAACAAUCGAAUAUACUUCCUACAAACAUUACUCUAAAGAAGCAUUUCUGGAUGAGCUCAGGAACAUAGACUGGAAUAUUGUUGAUGAAAUCCCCGAUAUUAAUACCGCAGUAAACGUUUGGAAUAAGCUGUUCUUAGAUGUUGCAGAACGUCAUGCCCCUACGAAACGAACUAGGAUAAAAGGUUGUCAUGUUCCUUGGAUGACAUCUGAGUUGAAAACAUCUAUGCAGGAACGCGACCGCUCAUUCCGUAAAGCUACCAAAUCUAAUUCUCCUUCUGACUGGUCCAAAUACAAAAGUUUGAAAUCCCACGUAAAUAGACAAGUCAAAAAGAGUAAAUCGGAAUACUACCUUAAUCUUAUUGAAAUCUCUAAAAAUAAUCCAAACACUCUCUGGAAACACCUCAAUGAAAUUACUUCACGUAAAUCGAGCUCGAACAUUUCAUGUAUUGAAGUUGAUGGAACUCCAUCUACCGAACCCAGGCAAAUCUCCGAAAUUCUUAAUAAUCAUUUUUCGACUAUUGGUUUAACACUCGUUAAUAAAUUUCGCAGUUACGUCUACCAUCACCUCUGCCGUUUGUAAAGACCAUCUUGAAUCUGGCGUAAUGUUUGCUUUUGAUGUAAUCGAUGAGUGUUUUGUUAAAUCCAAACUAAAU
This 1379-nucleotide long non-coding RNA is filed under the name Paramuricea clavata. Lineage: Eukaryota; Metazoa; Cnidaria; Anthozoa; Malacalcyonacea; Plexauridae. The record is from RNAcentral.